UCCAGCUCGAACAGUACAACAUGGCCACACGCAACAGACACGUCUCUUACACAAACCAUACAGACAUGGCAAAGGUAAAUGGCGGUGGAGUUGCAAUGUACUACAAAACAGUUCUUACAGCAGAGUCUCGAAAAUACCUGCAAAAUGUGACUGACCUUGAAUUUGUUGUUAUCAAGGUUGAAUCGCCAGUCACAGCUUUGAUAGCAACUGUAUACAGGCCACCAAAUUACAGCCACGUGAGGUUUUACCACAAAUGCAAUGUCUUUUGGACUCAUUGGAAAUGAUGAAUUGCCAACCAAUUAUUGUUUGUGGAGACUUCAAUGAGGACCUUAUGAGCAGAGAAAAAACCCAUCCAAGAACUGUUUCAGUCAAGAGGAUAUGCACAACUUAUUACUGCUGCAACUACCGAAAAACACACAUUGAUUGAUCACCUUUACAUAUCACAGCCAUACGCCUGCCUCCAAUCAGGUGUUCUGAAUACAUAUCACAGUUAUCACAACCCCAUUUAUUGUGUAAUUCACUAACACAAAAUGACUGCAAGGUUGUGAGGGAUAUGGACUUGCCAAGUGAUCUUAGUGUCUUUGCAACUGAGCACACUCUACCACCAACAAGGACAGCUCACCAGUGGGAGCUGAUACAUAAGACUGCUCUCAUCCAUUGAAGAGCUGACCAGAAACGUGAACAGAGAGACUGCAACUGCACCUGAUGGGAUCCCUGCCAUAACAGAUGUGUUCUGUCCAGUGAAGGCAGUAGAGAAGCCCUACACUGAUCUUGAAACUGUGCCACGCUAGUAGAGACCGGCUACAAGGAUGGGCAGCUGUUUUCGCAAAGUCAG
Oreochromis aureus is the source of this 835-nucleotide long non-coding RNA. RefSeq lists it as uncharacterized. The transcript has 3 exons. NCBI's taxonomy places the organism in Eukaryota, Metazoa, Chordata, Actinopteri, Cichliformes, Cichlidae. The record is from RefSeq and is a predicted model, not a curated record.